RNAcentral lists this ribosomal RNA (423 nucleotides) under uncultured bacterium. Its description in RNAcentral is "bacterial SSU rRNA". It matches the Rfam family "Bacterial small subunit ribosomal RNA", at positions 358 to 773 of the family's 1533-position model. The record is from RNAcentral.
GGAAUAUUGGACAAUGGGGGCAACCCUGAUCCAGCAACGCCGCGUGGGGGAUGAAGGUCUUCGGAUUGUAAACCCCUGUUGAGAGGGACGAAGGUUGACGGGCGAACAGUCCGUCCACUUGACGGUACCUCGAGAGGAAGCCCCGGAUCACUCUGUGCCAGCAGCCGCUGUAAUACAGAGGGGGCGAGCGUUAUUCGGAAUUAUUGGGCGUAAAGGGCGCGUAGGCGGCCCAGCAAGUCUUGGGUGAAAUCCCUCGGCUCAACCGAGGAACUGCCUUGGAAACUGCUGGGCUCGUGGCCGGGAGAGGGUGGUGGAAUUCCCAGUGUAGCGGUGAAAUGCGUAGAUAUUGGGAGGAACACCAGUGGCGAAGGCGGCCACCUGGACCGGUCCUGACGCUGAGGCGCGAAAGCGUGGGGAGCAAAC